Molecule: non-coding RNA, 200 nt
Organism: Schistosoma rodhaini
Lineage: Eukaryota; Metazoa; Platyhelminthes; Trematoda; Strigeidida; Schistosomatidae
Source: Rfam
AUCGCUUCUUGGCUCUCUGGGGUAAGAUCAUGUAUAGUAUCAGUUCUUUGCAGUGUAAUUCCUUCAAAGGUCUUUAAACUGAGAUCAAUGAAAUUACCUGUAUUUUUCACCUUCGGAUGGGUGCUAUGAGCUUGCUCAAUACCGUCCAUAGGUCGGCCUCGUAUUGCAUCGCAUAACUGUAAGGUGAUAAUUGAAUUUGA